AGAGCGAACGCUGGCGGCAGGCCUAACACAUGCAAGUCGAGCGCCCCGCAAGGGGAGCGGCAGACGGGAGAGUAACACGUGGGAACGUACCCUUCAGUUCGGAACAACCCAGGGAAACUUGGGCUAAUACCGAAUACGUCCGUAAGGAGAAAGAUUUAUCGCUGAAGGAUCGGCCCGCGUCUGAUUAGCUUGUUGGUGAGGUAACGGCUCACCAAGGCUACGAUCAGUAGCUGGUCUGAGAGGAUGAUCAGCCUCACUGGGACUGAGACACGGCCCAGACUCCUACGGGAGGCAGCAGUGGGGAAUAUUGGACAAUGGGCGCAAGCCUGAUCCAGCCAUGCCGCGUGGAUGAUGAAGGCCUUAGGGUUGUAAAGUCCUUUCGACGGGGAAGAUAAUGACGGUACCCGUAGAAGAAGCCCGGCUAACUUCGCGCCAGCAGCCGC
This 443-nucleotide ribosomal RNA is filed under the name uncultured bacterium. Its description in RNAcentral is "SSU rRNA". It matches the Rfam family "Bacterial small subunit ribosomal RNA", at positions 26 to 518 of the family's 1533-position model. The record is from RNAcentral.